UACAGAGGGUGCUAGCGUUGUUCGGAAUCACUGGGCUUAAAGGGCGCGUAGGCGGGCUGCCAAGUCUGGGGUGAAAUCCCACGGCUCAACCGUGGAACUGCCUCGGAUACUGGCGGCCUCGAGGGAGGUAGGGGCGUGCGGAACUGUGGGUGGAGCGGUGAAAUGCGUUGAUAUCCACAGGAACUCCGGUGGCGAAGGCGGCACGCUGGACCUCUUCUGACGCUGAGGCGCGAAAGCCAGGGGAGCAAACGGG
RNAcentral lists this ribosomal RNA (253 nucleotides) under uncultured bacterium. RNAcentral describes it as "partial 16S ribosomal RNA". It matches the Rfam family "Bacterial small subunit ribosomal RNA", at positions 524 to 776 of the family's 1533-position model. The record is from RNAcentral.